GAUGAACGCUGGCGGCGUGCCUAAUACAUGCAAGUCGAGCGAACGGACGAGAAGCUUGCUUCUCUGAUGUUAGCGGCGGACGGGUGAGUAACACGUGGAUAACCUACCUAUAAGACUGGGAUAACUUCGGGAAACCGGAGCUAAUACCGGAUAAUAUUUUGAACCGCAUGGUUCAAAAGUGAAAGACGGUCUUGCUGUCACUUAUAGAUGGAUCCGCGCUGCAUUAGCUAGUUGGUAAGGUAACGGCUUACCAAGGCAACGAUGCAUAGCCGACCUGAGAGGGUGGUCGGCCACACUGGAACUGGGACACGGUCCAGACUCCUACGGGAGGCAGCAGUAGGGAAUCUUCCGCAAUGGGGGAAAGCCUGACGGAGCAACGCCGCGUGAGUGAUGAAGGUCUUCGGAUCGUAAAACUCUGUUAUUAGGGAAGAACAUGUGUGUAAGUAACUGUGCACAUCUUGACGGUACCUAAUCAGAAAGCCACGGCUAACUACGUG
This 497-nucleotide ribosomal RNA is filed under the name uncultured bacterium. RNAcentral describes it as "partial 16S ribosomal RNA". It matches the Rfam family "Bacterial small subunit ribosomal RNA", at positions 28 to 507 of the family's 1533-position model. The record is from RNAcentral.